ACAAGUUCUUACAAGAGCAAGUCCGUUCACAGCAGGUACUCCUGGGAUCCAAGAUCUUUAGGUUGGAAGAGCUCCAGAGUAGAAGCCAAGAUCCAGCCGGGGACCAUGGUAGUCUGGCACCAGAGACUGAGGGGCUCGCUGAACCCUGUCAAGUUGUAAAACAGUGCCAAGCUUCUACAUCCAGGGCAGCACCCACAG
Molecule: long non-coding RNA, 198 nt
Organism: Ixodes scapularis (black-legged tick)
Lineage: Eukaryota; Metazoa; Arthropoda; Arachnida; Ixodida; Ixodidae
Exons: 3
Source: RefSeq, a predicted model, not a curated record